CAUAUCAAUAAGGGGAGGAAAAGAAAAUAACAAUGAUUCCCUUAGUAACGGCGAGUGAACAGGGAAAAGCUCAUCCCCGAAGCGGACUUUACAGUUCGCGGUGUGGGGUAUGGAUUAGUUGCUAUGGCCGUUCGGUCACCAAAUGGGCACUUUAAGUUUGUUGGAAUACAACACCAAAGAGGGUGAGAGUCCCGUGAAAGUGCUCUGGUGAUUGGCUAUGGCGCUGAUUCGAGAGUCGGGUUGUUUGAAAGUGCAACCCAAAGUUGGAGAUAUGUCUCUCCAAAAGCUAAAUAUGAGUGUGAGUCCGAUAGUAAACAAGUACCGUGAGGGAAAGUUGAAAAGCACUUUGAAAAGAGAGUGAAAAGUACGUGAAACCGUUGAGAGGUAAACGAAUGGACUGCCAUCGUGCUCGCAUGCCGCAUGUUUUCGGAUGUGCGGUGCUAAGAGCCAAAGUUGUCCCAGUGGCCAGUGACUUAGAUGCUCUCCUCAUCCUACUUCUCUCAGCCGGUAGAUGGCCCUAGUGCGAUUUGCCGGUGAGGAGUGCUAGCAGUUGACUCUAUUCCACAUUAGUGUGCCACUGGGGGAUAACAGCUUUGUUUCGGUGAUCCAUUUGACCCGUCUUGAAACACGGACCAAGGAGUUUGAUUAUGUGGCGAGUCAAUGAGCGAAUUGUAUGCUCUAAGGCGCAAUGAAAGUAAGCGGUCGUGCUCUGCCGCGGCUUUAAUGUGGUGAUGGGGCCUUAUCGGCUACUUGCAACCACGGGCAGGCAACCACUUAUGGGGUUGUUCUGACCUUGAGCCACGUGAUCAAGACCCGAAAGAUGGUGAUCUAUGCUCGGACAGGGCGAAGCCACGGGAAACCAUGGUGGAGGCCCGAAGCGGUUCUGACGUGCAAAUCGAUCGUCUGAUCCGAGUAUAGGGGCGAAAGACUAAUCGAACCAUCUAGUAGCUGGUUCCCUCCGAAGUUUCCCUCAGGAUAGCAAAGAUCGCGGAAACACAAAUUUUGCAGUUUUAUCGGGUAAAGCGAAUGAUUAGAGGCCUGGGGGAAGCCUAUUCCUCCACCUAUUCUCAAACUUUAAAUCGGUAAGAGGCUUUAGGUGUCUUAAUUGCACCUAGGCACUGCUUAUUUGACGUGAAUGCAAAGGUCUUUAGUGGGCCGUUUUUGGUAAGCAGAACCGGCGAUGAGGGAUGAACCUAACGUGGAUUUAAGGCGCCUAACGACGUGCUCAUGAGCAACCACAAAAGGUGUUGAUUGAUAUAGACAGCAGGACGGUGGCCAUGGAAGUCGGAAUCCGCUAAGGAGUGUGUAACAACUCACCUGCCGAAUCAAUCAGCCCUAAAAAUGGAUGGCGCUAGAGCACGUGGCCUAUAAUCCACCGUGAGCAGCUGGAGCUAGCAACUGCUAUUCGUUGCUGCGGUGGUCGCGUAGUAGUCUCUGCUAGUGCGCUGGUUGCCGUUGUUGACAUUAGUGGUGCAUGCUUGAUAUAGCUUGGUGCCCUGUCCACCCUCGAACCUUCGGGAUUGGGGAUGGCGUGUGCGGCCUUGCGAGAGUGCGUUGUCACACAAUUCUGCUCACGAGUAGGAGGGUGCAGAGGUCGCGUUGAAGUGUGGGCGUGAGCCUGCAUGGAGCGGCCUCUGGUACAGAUCUUGGUGGUAGUAGCAAACACUCAAGUGAGAGCCUUGAGGGCCGAAGCGGGGAAGGCUUCCAUGUGAACAGCAAUUGGACAUGGGUUAGUCGGUCCUAAGCAGCAGGCGAAAGCCGUUCCUUGUGAAUUUGAGGCCUAACCAACCUCAGUGCUGCGAAAGGGAAUCGGGUUAAUAUUCCCGAACCGUGCCUAUCGGUACACGGCGGUAACGCUAACACGCCUGGAGAUGGCGGCAGGACCCCGGGGAAGAGUUAUCUUUUCUUUUUAACAGACACCGCUUCCUUGGAAUGGUAUUAUACCGAGAUAAGGAGCACAGUCUGGCAGAGCACAGCAGCAUUUGCUGUGUCCCGCGUGGUCUUGACGUCCCUUGAAAAUCUGGGCAUGUAGAUACCAGUAGGCAUUGGCCGUACCCACAACCGCAUCAGGUCCCCAAGGUGAAUAGCCUCUGGCCUUGAAACAGUGUAGGUAAGGGAAGUCGGCAAAUAGAUCCGUACCUUCGGAAAAAGGAUUGGCUCUGAGGGUUGGGCGUAGCAAGCCUUAGACUUGAUGUCCUCUCGUUCAUUCGUUGGUCGGCACGGUGCCCUUCAUUGGGUGACGGGCCGCUGACGGGGGAUGGUGGCUGACUAGUCUCUGGUCACAGGCCGCGUACUUCUCUCCUUUAGGGUUCACGCUCUCUUGGAGGUUUGCGUGUUUGUCUGAUCUGCUAUGCGUUAAACAACCGAGCUCAGAACUGGUUCGGACAAGGGGAAUCCGACUGUUUAAUUAAAACAAAGCAUUGCGAUGGCUGGUGACUGGUGUUGACGCAAUGUGAUUUCUGCCCAGUGCUCUGAAUGUCAAAGUGAAGAAAUUCAAAUAAGCGCGGGUAAACGGCGGGAGUAACUAUGACUCUCUUAAGGUAGCCAAAUGCCUCGUCAUCUAAUUAGUGACGCGCAUGAAUGGAUUAACGAGAUUCCUACUGUCCCUAUCUACUAUUCAGCGAAACCACAGCUAGGGGAACGGGCCUAGCAAAAUUAGCGGGGAAAGAAGACCCUGUUGAGCUUGACUCUAGUCUGACAUUGUGAAGUGGCUCGGAAGGCGUAGAAUAGGUGGGAGCCACCAGCCCCUCGGGGCAAUUGGCAUCAGUGAAAUACCACUACUUUCGGUGUCAUUUUACUUAUCCAUUAAAGUGGAAAAGUCCUCUAACAAAGGACUCUUUUUGGCGCAAACUCAUAUAGUCUGCUUUGGUAAACUGCUCUACACCUUCGGGGUGGUGCCGCGUUGUGCUCUCAGUACGCUGGGUGGUGUCAGCGUGGUUGCUGCUCAGUUGUGUUGUGGGGUAGCGUCGCCACUGUGGGCUGAGUGAUUCAACCUGGAGAGAGUGUCAGGUUGAGAGUUUGACUGGGGCGGUACAUCUGUCAAAAGAUAACGCAGGUGUCCUAAGGCUGACUCAGUGAGGACAGAAACCUCACGUAGAGCAAAAGGGCAAAUGUCAGCUUGAUCUCGAUUUUCAGUGUGAAUACAGACUGCGAAAGCGUGGCCUAUCGAUCCUUUUGAUUUUAAAGGCUUUAAGCAAGAGGUGUCAGAAAAGUUACCACAGGGAUAACUGGCUUGUGGCAGCCAAGCGUUCAUAGCGACGUUGCUUUUUGAUCCUUCGAUGUCGGCUCUUCCUAUCAUUGCGAAGCAGAAUUCGCAAAGUGUUGGAUUGUUCACCCACUAACAGGGAACGUGAGCUGGGUUUAGACCGUCGUGAGACAGGUUAGUUUUACCCUACUGAUAAAUUUUUAUCAUUGUCGCAGUAAUCCCACUCAGUNNGAGAGGAACCGUGGGUUCAGACAUAUGGUGGCUGCAUCUGGUCGAACGGCCAAGGUG
RNAcentral lists this ribosomal RNA (3493 nucleotides) under Pharyngia furva. Its description in RNAcentral is "eukaryotic LSU rRNA". It matches the Rfam family "Eukaryotic large subunit ribosomal RNA", at positions 39 to 3093 of the family's 3401-position model. The record is from RNAcentral. Lineage: Eukaryota; Metazoa; Xenacoelomorpha; Acoela; Isodiametridae.